GGGGCCCUACGGGUGGCAGCAGUGAGGAAUAUUGGUCAAUGGGCGAGAGCCUGAACCAGCCAUCCCGCGUGCAGGAUGACGGCCCUAUGGGUUGUAAACUGCUUUUCUAUACCAAGAAAGGUUGCUACGUGUAGCAAAUUGACGGUAGUAUAGGAAUAAGCAUCGGCUAACUCCGUGCCAGCAGCCGCGGUAAUACGGAGGAUGCAAGCGUUAUCCGGAUUCAUUGGGUUUAAAGGGUGCGCAGGUGGGCUUGUAAGUCAGUGGUGAAAUACUGCCGCUUAACGGUAGAACUGCCAUUGAUACUGCAAGUCUUGAAUAUGGUUGAGGUAGGCGGAAUGUGUUGUGUAGCGGUGAAAUGCAUAGAUAUGACACA
Molecule: ribosomal RNA, 373 nt
Filed under: uncultured Cytophagales bacterium
Lineage: Bacteria; Pseudomonadati; Bacteroidota; Sphingobacteriia; Sphingobacteriales
Description: bacterial SSU rRNA
Rfam family: Bacterial small subunit ribosomal RNA
Source: RNAcentral